This is a long non-coding RNA of Perca flavescens (yellow perch), 292 nucleotides long. RefSeq lists it as uncharacterized. Lineage: Eukaryota; Metazoa; Chordata; Actinopteri; Perciformes; Percidae. The transcript has 3 exons. The record is from RefSeq and is a predicted model, not a curated record.
UCAAUCCUGUUGAAAGACCAUGUGCUUCGAUGCCCCUCUCUGUGAAAGCUGCUACGCCUAACGUUCGCCAUCGUAAGCCUAAGAAGCAAUUUAUUGAGCCUGUGAAGCCAUACACGACCGGUCUCCCGCCCAAAAGUAGCAGCCCUUCCUUUGUUCCGGUCUCGUCUUACCCGACCACUGUAUCUUAUGAUAGUAACACAGCAGCUGAGCAACUAAAGGCGACGGAAGACUUAGUUACAUUGUAUUUGACGCCUGAGGACGAUUUCACACAGUCACCCCCAUGGAGCAGAUA